UGGGUUGUAGCUCAGUAGUAGAACGCUUGCCUGGUAUGUAUGAGGCACUGGGUUCAAUUCUCAGCACUGCAU
RNAcentral lists this transfer RNA (72 nucleotides) under Ictidomys tridecemlineatus (thirteen-lined ground squirrel). RNAcentral describes it as "Spermophilus tridecemlineatus (thirteen-lined ground squirrel) tRNA". It matches the Rfam family "tRNA". Rfam says of the family: Transfer RNA (tRNA) molecules are approximately 80 nucleotides in length. Their secondary structure includes four short double-helical elements and three loops (D, anti-codon, and T loops). Further hydrogen bonds mediate the characteristic L-shaped molecular structure. tRNAs have two regions of fundamental functional importance: the anti-codon, which is responsible for specific mRNA codon recognition, and the 3' end, to which the tRNAs corresponding amino acid is attached (by aminoacyl-tRNA synthetases). tRNAs cope with the degeneracy of the genetic code in two manners: having more than one tRNA (with a specific anti-codon) for a particular amino acid; and 'wobble' base-pairing, i.e. permitting non-standard base-pairing at the 3rd anti-codon position. Lineage: Eukaryota; Metazoa; Chordata; Mammalia; Rodentia; Sciuridae. The record is from Rfam by way of RNAcentral. RNAcentral also lists the same sequence under 1 other name.